UACGGUUGAUCGCCGGUAGUCAUAUGCUUGUCUCAAAGAUUAAGCCAUGCAUGUGUAAGUAUGAACUAUUUGUUGUGAAGCUGCGAAUGGCUCAUUAAAUCGAGUUAUAGUUUGUUUGAUGGUGCGUGCUACCGGAUAACCGUAGUAAUUCUAGAGCUAUCGUGCAACAAACCCCGACUUCCGGAAGGGAUGCAUUUAUUAGAUAAAAAAGGCGGGCGGGCUUUGCCGCCGCUCAAAUGAUUCAUGAUAACUUCGACGGAUCUUACGGCCCUCGUCGUGCGGCGGCGCAUCAUUCAAAUUUCUGCCCUAUCAACUUUCGAUGGUAGGAUGAGGGGGGCCUACCAUGGUGGUGACGGGUGACGGAGAAUUAGGGUUCGAUUAGGAGAGGGAGCACGGCGGCUACCACAUCCAAGAAAAAGCGGCGGCGCAAAUUACCCAAUCGACGCGGGGGAGGUAGUGACAAUAAAUAACAAUACCGGGCUCUUGAUGCGGUGGUGAAAUAAGUACAAUCUAAAUCCCUUAACGAGGAUCCAUUGGAGGGCAAAUGCGGUGCCGGCGGCGGCGGUAAUUCCAGCUCAAUAGCGUAUAUUUAAGUUGUUGCAGAUUAAAAAAGCUUCGUAGUUGGACUUUGGGGCGGGUCGGUCGGUCCGCCUCGCGGUGUGCACCGUCGUCCCCAUCCUCUGUCGGCGAUCGUGUGCGGCAUGCUUGGCGGGUGGUGUGCCUCCGCUAUUAUUUUGAAGAAAUUAGAGUGCUCAAAAGCAAGCCCCGCUCUGGAUACAUUAGCAUGGGAUAACAUCACGAGGAUUUCGGUCCUAUUGUGUUGGCCGGGAUGGAGUAAUGAUUAAGAGGGACGAUCGGGGGCAUUCGUAUUUCAUAGUAGAGGUGAAAUUCUUGGAUUUAUGAAAAAAGGCGAACCACUGCGAAAAGCAUUUGCCAAGGAUGUUUUCAUUAAUCAGAACGAAAGUUUGGGGGCUCGAAAACGAUCGAUACCGUCCUAGUCUCAACCAUAAGCGAUGCCGACCGAGGGAUCGGCGGAUGUUACUCUUAGGACUCGCCGGCACCUUAUGAGAAAUCAAAGUCUUUGGGUUCGGGGGGGGUAUGGUCGCAAAGGCUGAAAACUUAAAGGAAUUGGCGGAAGGGCACCACCGAGUGGAGCUGCGGCUUAAUUUGACUCAACACGGGGAAACUUUACGGUCGAACAUAGCAAGGAUUGUGAGGCCGAGAGCUCUUUCUUGAUUCUAUGGGUGGUGGUGCAUGGCGUUCUUAGUUGGUGUGGGCGAUUUGUGCGGUUAAUUCGAUAGCGAGCGAGACCUCACUGCUAACUAGCUUCUGGCGGAGGCAUCCCCUCGCGGCCAGCUUCUUAGAGGGACUAUGGCGUUUUAGGCCACGGAAGUUUGAGGCAAUAGCAGUGCGUGAUGCCCUUAGAUGUUACGGGCGCCGCUGGCUUCUGGCGAUGUAUUCAGCGAGUCUAUAGCCUUGGCCAAGCGGGGCGGGUAAUCUUUGAAAAUUUCAUCGUGAUGGGGAUAGAUCAUUGCAAUUGUUGGUCUUCAGCGAGGAAUUCCUAAUAGCGAGUCAUCGGCUCGCGUUGACUACGUCCCCGCCCUUUGUACACACUGCGCCCGUCGCUCCUACCGAUUGAAUGGUCGGUGAAGUGUUGGAUCGGCGGCGAGGCGGUUCGCCCGCCCCCAUGACGUCGCGAGAAGUCCGCGAACCUUAUCAUUUAGAGGAAGGAGAAGUCGUAACAAGGUUUCCGUAGGUGAACUGCGGAAG
This 1770-nucleotide ribosomal RNA is filed under the name Musa schizocarpa. RNAcentral describes it as "SSU rRNA". It matches the Rfam family "Eukaryotic small subunit ribosomal RNA". Lineage: Eukaryota; Viridiplantae; Streptophyta; Magnoliopsida; Zingiberales; Musaceae. The record is from RNAcentral.